Molecule: ribosomal RNA, 800 nt
Filed under: uncultured bacterium
Lineage: Bacteria
Description: bacterial SSU rRNA
Rfam family: Bacterial small subunit ribosomal RNA
Source: RNAcentral
AGAGUUUGAUCCUGGCUCAGAACGAACGCUGGCGGCGUGCUUAAGACAUGCAAGUCGUGCGAGAAAGGGACUUCGGUCCCGAGUACAGCGGCGCACGGGUGAGUAACGCGUGGGUAAUCUGCCUUCGGGUUCGGGACAACUCGGGGAAACCUGAGCUAAUACCGGGCAAGACUACGGAUUCUUCGGAUUCUGCAGCAAAAGAUGGCCUCUGCUUGCAAGCUAUCGCCUGAAGAUGAGCCCGCGUCCCAUUAGCUAGUUGGUGAGGUAAUGGCUCACCAAGGCAGUGAUGGGUAGCUGGUCUGAGAGGACGAUCAGCCACACUGGAACUGAGACACGGUCCAGACUCCUACGGGAGGCAGCAGUCGGGAAUUUUGGGCAAUGGGGGCAACCCUGACCCAGCAACGCCGCGUGAGCGAUGAAGGCCUUCGGGUCGUAAAGCUCUGUCGAGAGGGAAGAAGGCUCUCGGGGUGAAUAAUCUCGGGGGAUUGACGGUACCUCUAGAGGAAGCGCCGGCUAACUCCGUGCCAGCAGCCGCGGUAAUACGGAGGGCGCAAGCGUUGUUCGGAAUCACUGGGCGUAAAGCGCGUGUAGGCGGCCUGGCAAGUCGGGUGUGAAAGCCCGGGGCUCAACCCCGGAACUGCACUCGAAACUGCCUGGCUCGAGUCCCGGAGAGGGUGGCGGAAUUCCCGGUGUAGAGGUGAAAUUCGUAGAUAUCGGGAGGAACACCAGUGGCGAAGGCGGCCACCUGGACGGUGACUGACGCUGAGACGCGAAAGCGUGGGGAGCAAACAGGAUUAGAU